This 152-nucleotide unclassified non-coding RNA is filed under the name uncultured fungus. Its description in RNAcentral is "sequence contains ITS1". The record is from RNAcentral. Lineage: Eukaryota; Fungi.
AUGAGUUUGCGCGGUUGUUGCUGGUUCUUACAAGUGCACACCGCGUCUUUCUUAUCCACCCCACUGUGCAUCUCGGUACGCCUCUGCGCGUAGUCCUUUACAUCUAUACACCUUUUGUAAUGUAGAGAACGUGCCUUUGAAAUAACAAAAUA